AACGCACGAGACCUGCGGACCUGCGGAGGGAUCAUUACCGAGUUAUCCAACUCCCAACCCCUGUGAAUUAUACCUUUAAUUGUUGCUUCGGCGGGACUUCGCGCCCGCCGGGGACCCAAACCUUCUGAAUUUCUUAAUAAGUAUCUUCUGAGUGGUUAAAAAAAUGAAUCAAAACUUUUAGCAACGGAUCUCU
Molecule: unclassified non-coding RNA, 193 nt
Filed under: soil metagenome
Description: partial contains 5.8S ribosomal RNA, internal transcribed spacer 2, and large subunit ribosomal RNA
Source: RNAcentral